RNAcentral lists this ribosomal RNA (1381 nucleotides) under uncultured bacterium. RNAcentral describes it as "16S ribosomal RNA". It matches the Rfam family "Bacterial small subunit ribosomal RNA". The record is from RNAcentral.
UUCGCCCUUAGAGUUUGAUCCUGGCUCAGGACGAACGCUGGCGGCGCGCCUAACACAUGCAAGUCGAACGGAGCUGAGAGAAGCUUGCUUUUCUUAGCUUAGUGGCGAACGGGUGAGUAACGCGUGAGUAACCUGCCCUGGAGUGGGGGACAACAGUUGGAAACGACUGCUAAUACCGCAUAAGCCCACGGCCCGGCAUCGGGCUGAGGGAAAAGGAUUUAUUCGCUUCAGGAUGGACUCGCGUCCAAUUAGCUAGUUGGUGAGGUAACGGCCCACCAAGGCGACGAUUGGUAGCCGGACUGAGAGGUUGAACGGCCACAUUGGGACUGAGACACGGCCCAGACUCCUACGGGAGGCAGCAGUGGGGGAUAUUGCACAAUGGGGGAAACCCUGAUGCAGCGACGCCGCGUGGAGGAAGAAGGUUUUCGGAUUGUAAACUCCUGUCGUUAGGGACGAUAAUGACGGUACCUAACAAGAAAGCACCGGCUAACUACGUGCCAGCAGCCGCGGUAAAACGUAGGGUGCAAGCGUUGUCCGGAAUUACUGGGUGUAAAGGGAGCGCAGGCGGACCGGCAAGUUGGAAGUGAAAACUAUGGGCUCAACCCAUAAAUUGCUUUCAAAACUGUUGGCCUUGAGUAGUGCAGAGGUAGGUGGAAUUCCCGGUGUAGCGGUGGAAUGCGUAGAUAUCGGGAGGAACACCAGUGGCGAAGGCGACCUACUGGGUACCAACUGACGCUGAGGCUCGAAAGCAUGGGUAGCAAACAGGAUUAGAUACCCUGGUAGUCCAUGCCGUAAACGAUGAUUACUAGGUGUUGGAGGAUUGACCCCUUCAGUGCCGCAGUUAACACAAUAAGUAAUCCACCUGGGGAGUACGACCGCAAGGUUGAAACUCAAAGGAAUUGACGGGGGCCCGCACAAGCAGUGGAGUAUGUGGUUUAAUUCGAAGCAACGCGAAGAACCUUACCAGGUCUUGACAUCCGAUGCAUAGCUUAGAGAUAAGUGAAGUCCUUCGGGACAUCGAGACAGGUGGUGCAUGGUUGUCGUCAGCUCGUGUCGUGAGAUGUUGGGUUAAGUCCCGCAACGAGCGCAACCCUUAUUGCCAGAUACUACGCAAGAGGACUCUGGCGAGACUGCCGUUGACAAAACGGAGGAAGGUGGGGAUGACGUCAAAUCAUCAUGCCCUUUAUGACCUGGGCUACACACGUGCUACAAUGGCCACGACAGAGAGAAGCGAAUUCGAGAGGAAGAGCGGAUCUCAAAAAAGUGGUCCCAGUUCGGAUUGUGGGCUGCAACCCGCCCACAUGAAGUCGGAGUUGCUAGUAAUCGUGGAUCAGCAUGCCACGGUGAAUACGUUCCCGGGCCUUGUACACACCGCCCGUCA